Molecule: non-coding RNA, 237 nt
Organism: Cricetulus griseus (Chinese hamster)
Lineage: Eukaryota; Metazoa; Chordata; Mammalia; Rodentia; Cricetidae
Source: RefSeq, a predicted model, not a curated record
GGUUUUGGUUCUCAACCAAACUAUGCAAGUUUGUGACUGACGGGACGAUUAUCCAAUAGAAAGCUGAACUGGUCAGGCAGAGACGGCCCACCAGCCAGUAGGGAGACUCGGCGAGCGCGUUGGCCCCGAGAAAGCCAGAGCCGGUUUGCAGGAAUCGCAGUGGCGGUCGGAGUCCCAGCAGAGCGCAAUCAUGUCUAUUAUGUCCUAUAACGGAGGGGCCGUCAUGGCCAUGAAGGG